Molecule: transfer RNA, 85 nt
Filed under: Felis catus (domestic cat)
Lineage: Eukaryota; Metazoa; Chordata; Mammalia; Carnivora; Felidae
Rfam family: tRNA
About the family: Transfer RNA (tRNA) molecules are approximately 80 nucleotides in length. Their secondary structure includes four short double-helical elements and three loops (D, anti-codon, and T loops).
Source: Rfam by way of RNAcentral
ACCUGGGUGGCUUAGUCGGCUAAGCACCCGACUUCAGCUCAGGUCAUGAUCUCACAGUUUGUGGGUUCAAGCCCCACAUCAGGCU